CGAGAAAAUUUCCGAUCUAUUUAUCUUCAAUCAUGGCAGUACAACGAAUACCAGAAAUAAUAAAAAUUACAUCCAGAUCCAUAGACCACCUAGCAGCGACUACCAGCACUGAAGCGAGCCGAAGGCGCGUCGCCGUCAUCGCCCCUCCAUCGCCGGAGUCGGGCACAGCUUGUUGUAGUAGACAGUCAGGAAGUCGUCGUGUUAAGGCCUCGUAGGACCAGCGCAACAGAACAGCAACCGCCGCAGAUGAAGAAUGACGUAGAUCAGAAAGAUCCAAUCUGAAGACACGCAAACAUAGACGAACAACGACGAGAUCCGAGCAAAUCCACCAAAGAUAGAUCCACCGGAGACACACCUUCACACAGCCACCAACGAUGCUAGACGCGCCGCCGGAACGGGGACUAGGCGGGGAGACCUUUAUUCCAUCUUCAGGGAGCCGCCGCCGUCUCGUCCUCUUGAGCAAGACACAAACCCUAGCAAAAUUGAAAGAAACGACUAAAAACGGAGCCCUCCCGCCGGCCCUUGCCGAGAUCCACCACGCCCCCAUGGCCCUAGGGCCACCGGAGAGGAGGCGGACCUGCGGCGGUGGCGGCGGGAGGCAGAAACCCUAACUUUUUUGUGGAGGAAGGAGGCAGCGGCUAGUGUAUCUGGUGGUGGCCUCGGGGGGUCCCUUGUGUCGUCUUCUUCCCACAUCGCAUGCAAGAGAAAAAAAGGAGAAAUCC
This 722-nucleotide ribosomal RNA is filed under the name Triticum aestivum (bread wheat). Its description in RNAcentral is "partial small subunit ribosomal RNA". Lineage: Eukaryota; Viridiplantae; Streptophyta; Magnoliopsida; Poales; Poaceae. The record is from RNAcentral.